This 484-nucleotide ribosomal RNA is filed under the name uncultured bacterium. Its description in RNAcentral is "partial 16S ribosomal RNA". It matches the Rfam family "Bacterial small subunit ribosomal RNA", at positions 29 to 507 of the family's 1533-position model. The record is from RNAcentral.
AUUGAACGCUGGCGGCAUGCUUUACACAUGCAAGUCGAACGGCAGCGCGGGCUUCGGCCUGGCGGCGAGUGGCGAACGGGUGAGUAAUACAUCGGAACGUGCCCAGUAGUGGGGGAUAGCUCGGCGAAAGCCGGAUUAAUACCGCAUACGACCUGAGGGUGAAAGCGGGGGAUCUUCGGACCUCGCGCUAUUGGAGCGGCCGAUGGCAGAUUAGCUAGUUGGUGGGGUAAAGGCCUACCAAGGCGACGAUCUGUAGCUGGUCUGAGAGGACGACCAGCCACACUGGAACUGGAACACGGCCCAGACUCCUACGGGAGGCAGCAGUGGGGAAUUUUGGACAAUGGGCGAAAGCCUGAUCCAGCAAUGCGGCGUGUGUGAUGAAGGCCUUCGGGUUGUAAAGCACUUUUGGCGGGAACGAAAAGGACUGUGCCAAUACCACGGUUCGAUGACGGUACCCGCAGAAUAAGCACCGGCUAACUACGUG